GAUGAACGCUGGCGGCGUGCCUAAUACAUGCAAGCCGAGCGAACGGACGAGAAGCUUGCUUCUCUGAUGUUAGCGGCGGACGGGUGAGUAACACGUGGAUAACCUACCUAUAAGACUGGGAUAACUUCGGGAAACCGGAGCUAAUACCGGAUAAUAUUUUGAACCGCAUGGUUCAAAAGUGAAAGACGGUCUUGCUGUCACUUAUAGAUGGAUCCGCGCUGCAUUAGCUAGUUGGUAAGGUAACGGCUUACCAAGGCAACGAUGCAUAGCCGACCUGAGAGGGUGAUCGGCCACACUGGAACUGAGACACGGUCCAGACUCCUACGGGAGGCAGCAGUAGGGAAUCUUCCGCAAUGGGCGAAAGCCUGACGGAGCAACGCCGCGUGAGUGAUGAAGGUCUUCGGAUCGUAAAACUCUGUUAUUAGGGAAGAACAAAUGUGUAAGUAACUGUGCACAUCUUGACGGUACCUAAUCAGAAAGCCACGGCUAACUACGUG
RNAcentral lists this ribosomal RNA (497 nucleotides) under uncultured bacterium. RNAcentral describes it as "partial 16S ribosomal RNA". It matches the Rfam family "Bacterial small subunit ribosomal RNA", at positions 28 to 507 of the family's 1533-position model. The record is from RNAcentral.